RNAcentral lists this ribosomal RNA (461 nucleotides) under uncultured bacterium. Its description in RNAcentral is "partial 16S ribosomal RNA". It matches the Rfam family "Bacterial small subunit ribosomal RNA", at positions 338 to 795 of the family's 1533-position model. The record is from RNAcentral.
CCUACGGGCGGGCUGCAGUGAGGAAUAUUGGUCAAUGGGCGCGAUCCUGAACCAGCCAAGUAGCGUGAAGGAUGACUGCCCUACGGGUUGUAAACUUCUUUUAUAAAGGAAUAAAGUGAGGCACGUGUGCCUUUUUGUCUGUACUUUAUGACUAAGGAUCGGCUAACUCCGUGCCAGCAGCCGCGGUAAUACGGAGGAUCCGAGCGUUAGCCGGAUUUAUUGGGUUUAAAGGGAGAGUAGAUGGGUUGUUAAGUCCGUUGUGAAAGUUUGCGGCUCAACCGUAAAAUUGCAAUUGAUACUGGCAGACUGGAGUACAGUUGCGGGAGGCGGAAGUCGUGGUGGAGCGGUGGAAUGCUUAGAUAUUACGAAGAACUCCGAUUGCGAAGGCAGCCUACUAAACUGCCACUGACAUGGAUGCUCGAAAGUGUGGGUAUCAAACAGGAUUAGAUACCCCAGUAGUC